GACAGAGGGUGCAAACGUUGUUCGGAAUUACUGGGCGUAAAGCGCGUGUAGGCUGCUCGGAAAGUCGGAUGUGAAAGCCCUGGGCUUAACCUAGGAAGUGCAUUCGAAACUUCCGAGCUGGAGUUCUGGAGAGGAAGGCGGAAUUCUCGGUGUAGAGGUGAAAUUCGUAGAUAUCGGGAGGAACACCGGUGGCGAAGGCGGUUCUCUGGGCCUGACCUGACGCUGAGGAGCGAAAGCGUGGGGAGCGAACAGG
This 253-nucleotide ribosomal RNA is filed under the name uncultured bacterium. Its description in RNAcentral is "partial 16S ribosomal RNA". It matches the Rfam family "Bacterial small subunit ribosomal RNA", at positions 524 to 776 of the family's 1533-position model. The record is from RNAcentral.